UUUAAGGUCUAAUCUGCCCUANGAGUAAUUAAAUGGCUGCGGUACUCUGACCGUGCAAAGGUAGCAUAAUAAUUAGUUUCUUAAUUGGAAGCUGGAAUGAACGAUUGGACGAGAAAAUUACUGUCUCAGAUUAAUUUUAUUAGAAUUUUAUUUUUAAGUAAGAAAGCUUAAAUAUUUUUAAAAGACGAGAAGACCCUAUAGAGUUUUAUAAAUUUAAAUAUAUUAUUUUCAUAGAAUUUUUAUAUUAAUAUAUUUAUUUUUAUUUUGUUGGGGUGAUAGAAAAAUUUAAUUAACUUUUUUUAAAUAUUAACNUUUAUUAAUGAAUAAGUGAUCCAUUUUUUAUGAUUAUAAGAUUAAAUUACCUUAGGGAUAACAGCGUAAUUUUUUUUUAGAGUUCUUAUCGAAAAAAAAGGUUGCGACCUCGAUGUUGGAUUAAAAUUAAGGUUUGGUGUAGGGGCUAAAUUGUUAAGUCUGUUCGACUUUUAAAAUUUUACA
Molecule: ribosomal RNA, 495 nt
Filed under: Microtrochalus plagiger
Lineage: Eukaryota; Metazoa; Arthropoda; Insecta; Coleoptera; Scarabaeidae
Description: partial 16S large subunit ribosomal RNA
Rfam family: Bacterial large subunit ribosomal RNA
Source: RNAcentral